GCAAGGGGAACAGCGUGUGUGAGGGUUCCGCCAUGUCUCAGCCCUUUCCUGGCCCCUGCACUUAGCCUUCGGUGCCUAUCUUCAGGGUCAGGGGAAGCCCAGGCCAAAGCGGGCCGGGAAGGGGCCCUGUGGAUAAGGCCGAGAGCCUGUCCCAAAAUAGGGCCGGCAGGAUUUCCCACCCAUAAAAGGCUCUUGGAAUCUGGACCCCAGGGACCCCAGGCAACCAGGCCCAGCUAAAACUCAGCUGCCACCACUGCCCCGGCACUCUGCCCACAGCAGCCCUGGUGCCACCACCCUGCAGAAUCCUGUCAGACAACCACCGACAUGACAAAGGGUUCUUCAACUGCGAUGGUUUCCUGGCACUAAUGGGAGUUUACCAUGAGAAGGCCCAGAACCAGGAGAGCGAGCUGAGGGCGGCAUUCCGUGUCUUCGACAAAGAGGGCAAGGGCUACAUUGACUGGAACACACUCAAGUAGGGCCCGGGUGAGGGGCGGGUGGUGGGCGGGCACGGGCAGGGCCGAUGGAGUGGCUCAGCGCCAGGCCCCGUAGGUACGUGCUAAUGAACGCAGGGGAGCCCCUCAACGAGGUGGAGGCGGAGCAGAUGAUGAAGGAGGCCGACAAGGAUGGGGACGGGACCAUCGACUAUG
This 647-nucleotide small RNA is filed under the name Pongo abelii (Sumatran orangutan). Its description in RNAcentral is "processed transcript". The record is from RNAcentral. Lineage: Eukaryota; Metazoa; Chordata; Mammalia; Primates; Hominidae.